RNAcentral lists this long non-coding RNA (306 nucleotides) under Elaeis guineensis (African oil palm). RNAcentral's name for it is "long non-coding RNA (EGUI_LNC035594)". Lineage: Eukaryota; Viridiplantae; Streptophyta; Magnoliopsida; Arecales; Arecaceae. The record is from RNAcentral.
GGUUCCUUGACAAUACUUUCAUUGGUGCAGAGUAUCGUAGGUAUUCUGCUCCUUCGAUCUCUAUGAGGAUCUGCACACGGAGAGCAGAAAGAGGAGUAUAGGAGUCAUACUUAUCGUAAUUCGAUCUUGAACUCCGUCGUCGGGGCGAAGCUCGCUUAUUGGAAGGUGGCCGACUUGAUUCGGCCAGAGCUCCUCCCUUCUUCUAUUUUUUUCUUCUGACCUUUGCCUUCUGUCUGGCAUCGGUCAGAAGCUCCUUCAUCUGCAUGUAUAUACUUGUAUGCAUGCUCCAGAAGUUCAGUAUAAGUC